RNAcentral lists this non-coding RNA (26 nucleotides) under Homo sapiens (human). Lineage: Eukaryota; Metazoa; Chordata; Mammalia; Primates; Hominidae. The record is from RNAcentral.
GAGAAAGAUGUCAAACGUGCGAGUGU